Molecule: unclassified non-coding RNA, 240 nt
Filed under: soil metagenome
Description: partial contains 5.8S ribosomal RNA, internal transcribed spacer 2, and large subunit ribosomal RNA
Source: RNAcentral
AACUGAUACUACCUGCGGGAACCUGCGGAGGGAUCAUUACUGAAGUGAUUUGGGGAUGUUGCUGGCCCUCUCUCAAGGGGGGGCACUGUGCACUCCUCGAAACAAUUCACAAUUUCCAUCACACCCCUUGUGCACACCUUGUAGGCACCCAAACCCACCUCCGGGUGGUGGGGUCCUAUGUAUUCCUUCAUCUCACACUCUGUUGAACGGUGCCAUGGGACGCAUCUAAAGGAUUAUUUG